Molecule: ribosomal RNA, 468 nt
Filed under: uncultured bacterium
Lineage: Bacteria
Description: partial 16S ribosomal RNA
Rfam family: Bacterial small subunit ribosomal RNA
Source: RNAcentral
GACGAACGCUGGCGGCGUGCUUAACACAUGCAAGUCGAACGGAAAGGCCCUGCUUUUGUGGGGUGCUCGAGUGGCGAACGGGUGAGUAACACGUGAGUAACCUGCCCUUGACUUUGGGAUAACUUCAGGAAACUGGGGCUAAUACCGGAUAGGAGCUCCUGCUGCAUGGUGGGGGUUGGAAAGUUUCGGCGGGUGGGGAUGGACUCGCGGCUUAUCAGCUUGUUGGUGGGGUAGUGGCUUACCAAGGCUUUGACGGGUAGCCGGCCUGAGAGGGUGACCGGGCACAUUGGGACUGCGGGACGGCCCAGACUGCUACGGGAGGCAGCAGUGGGGAAUAUUGCACAAUGGGAGGAAGUCUGAUGCGGCAACGCCGCGUGCGGGAUGACGGCCUUCGGGUUGUGAAACGCUUUCGGCUGUGACGAAGCGUGAGUGACGGUAAUGGGUAAAGAAGCACCGGCUAACUACGUG